UCUCGAAAGCCUGUCCCAGUUCGGACUGGAGUCUGCAACCCGACUCCACGAAGUUGGAUUCGCUAGUAAUCGCGCAUCAGCCAUGGCGCGGUGAAUACGUUCCCGGGCCUUGUACACACCGCCCGUCAAGCCAUGGGAGCCCGGGGGGCGCCUGAAGUCCGGGACCGCGAGGACCGGCCUAGGGCGAAACUGGUAACUGGGGCUAAGUCGUAACAAGGUAUC
RNAcentral lists this ribosomal RNA (222 nucleotides) under uncultured bacterium. RNAcentral's name for it is "partial 16S ribosomal RNA". It matches the Rfam family "Bacterial small subunit ribosomal RNA", at positions 1273 to 1500 of the family's 1533-position model. The record is from RNAcentral.